AGGUACAAUACAAGUGCUGAUCCCGGGUGAGAAAGAGGCUUACAUUGAGGUGAAGGUUAAACAACUGGAUGGUGACAAAGCCACUGUGGAGACCAAAGAUGUGCGGACAAGGCCUCCUACCUGAUUUGGAUCAAUUCAGGUGCCCUCACCAAAGGUCUGCUGCACCCUCGGGUCAAAGUGUGUAACAAGUACGUCAUCAAGGGCCAGACUGUUGAGCAGGUGAACUACUCAGUUGGAGCUCUAGCCAAAUCCACCUAUGCAUGUUCAACUGGAUGAUGAGCCGGAUCAACAAGAGCCUCUACAUGGCCCUGCCAAGACAGCCGGAUCAUAAGAGCCUCUACACGGCCCUGCCAAGACAGCCGGAUCAACAAGAGCCUCUACACGGCCCUGCCAAGACAGCCGGAUCAACAAGAGCCUCUACACGGCCCUGCCAAAACAGCCGGAUCAACAAGAGCCUCUACAUGGCCCUGCCAAGACAGCCGGAUCAACAAGAGCCUCUACACGGCCCUGCCAAGACAGCCGGAUCAACAAGAGCCUCUACACGGCCCUGCCAAGACAGCCGGAUCAACAAGAGCCUCUACACGGCCCUGCCAAAACAGCCGGAUCAACAAGAGCCUCUACAUGGCCCUGCCAAGACAGCCGGAUCAACAAGAGCCUCUACACGGCCCUGCCAAGACAGCCGGAUCAACAAGAGCCUCUACCAAGACAGUUCUUCGUCUGUCUAUUGAACAUUGAAGGGUUCCUGAUCUUCGAGGUUCAACAACUUUGAGCAGCUGUGCAUCAACUCCCCCAACGAGAAACGACAACAGUAUUUCAACCAGCACGUGUUCAUCCUGGAGCAGGAGGAGUAUAAGAGGGAGGGUAUUGACCUUCAUCCACUUGGAUCUACAAACCUGUAUCAACCUCAUAGAGAAGGUAUGUGUCUGUUGCUUCAUCCAUUUAAAUAAGGGGCUAGAGCAGAGGGACCGGUACAUUUAGCCUUUGAAGAGUUAUUUGAUUUCUGUGUCAUUUACUCUCGCUUUGUUUCCUGCAGUCCAUGGGCAUAUAGUAUACUGCCUCUCGUUUGUUUCCUGCAGUCCAUGGGCAUACAGUAUACUACCUCUCGUUUGUUUCCUGAAGUCCAUGGGCAUACAGUUUACUGCCUCUCGUUUAUUUCCUGCAGUCCAUGGGCAUACAGUAUACUGCCUCUCGUUUGUUUCCUGCAGUCCAUGGGCAUACAGUAUACUGCCUCUCGUUUGUUUCCUGCAGUCCAUGGGCAUACAGUAUACUGCCUCUCAUUUGUUUCCUGCAGUCCAUGGGCAUACAGUAUACUGCCUCUCGUUUGUUUCCUGCAGUCCAUGGGCAUACAGUAUACUGCCUCUCGUUUGUUUCCUGCAGUCCAUGGGCAUACAGUAUACUGCCUCUCGUUUGUUUCCUGCAGUCCAUGGGCAUACAGUAUACUGCCUCUCGUUUGUUUCCUGCAGUCCAUGGGCAUACAGUAUACUGCCUCUCGUUUGUUUCCUGCAGUCCAUGGGCAUACAGUAUACUGCCUCUCGUUUGUUUCCUGCAGUCCAUGGGCAUACAGUAUACUGCCUCUCGUUUGUUUCCUGCAGUCCAUGGGCAUACAGUAUACUGCCUCUC
Oncorhynchus gorbuscha (pink salmon) is the source of this 1620-nucleotide long non-coding RNA. RefSeq lists it as uncharacterized. Lineage: Eukaryota; Metazoa; Chordata; Actinopteri; Salmoniformes; Salmonidae. The record is from RefSeq and is a predicted model, not a curated record. The transcript has 4 exons.